GACGGAGGGUGCUAGCGUUGUUCGGAAUCACUGGGCGUAAAGGGUGCGUAGGCGGGUCUUUAAGUCAGGGGUGAAAUCCUGGAGCUCAACUCCAGAACUGCCUUUGAUACUGAAGAUCUUGAGUUCGGGAGAGGUGAGUGGAACUGCGAGUGUAGAGGUGAAAUUCGUAGAUAUUCGCAAGAACACCAGUGGCGAAGGCGGCUCACUGGCCCGAUACUGACGCUGAGGCACGAAAGCGUGGGGAGCAAACAGG
Molecule: ribosomal RNA, 253 nt
Filed under: uncultured bacterium
Lineage: Bacteria
Description: partial 16S ribosomal RNA
Rfam family: Bacterial small subunit ribosomal RNA
Source: RNAcentral